Molecule: ribosomal RNA, 253 nt
Filed under: uncultured bacterium
Lineage: Bacteria
Description: partial 16S ribosomal RNA
Rfam family: Bacterial small subunit ribosomal RNA
Source: RNAcentral
CACGUAGGGCGCGAGCGUUGUCCGGAAUUAUUGGGCGUAAAGAGCUCGUAGGCGGCCUGUUGCGUCCGCUGUGAAAGCCCGGGGCUUAACCCCGGGUCGGCAGUGGAUACGGGCAGGCUAGAGGUAGGUAGGGGAGAAUGGAAUUCCCGGUGUAGCGGUGAAAUGCGCAGAUAUCAGGAGGAACACCGGUGGCGAAGGCGGGUCUCUGGGCCGAAACUGACGCUGAGGAGCGAAAGCGUGGGGAGCGAACAGG